RNAcentral lists this long non-coding RNA (417 nucleotides) under Papio anubis (olive baboon). RNAcentral describes it as "lncRNA (ENSPANG00000044372.1)". Lineage: Eukaryota; Metazoa; Chordata; Mammalia; Primates; Cercopithecidae. The record is from RNAcentral.
AUUUUGAUAUUAAUUAUUUAUAGAACAACAUAAAAUGUUAUUAAUUUGACAGGUAGCUUGAUAAAAUUGUCAACCUAUAUUUUUUAAAAAGGAUAUGGCCUGGGAUUGUUGGUCUUGCCAAAUAUGAAUAAAUUCAUUCAACAAGCUUUCAUUGCGUAUCUUCCUGUGCAGAUCAGCAAGAUCAGGUUUUACAGCUGAGGACACUUCACAACAUGCUAAACUUACUGCUGGCAUCUACACGACCAAGAGAAAAUGCUGCAGUAGGAGGGUCUUCCCCUGUGGCAUCACCAAAAGGGGAUUGGAAAAGGCAUUGAGAAACUGGAAAAAAUGACAUAUAAUAUGUAUAUCCAGACUGGUAAGGAUGUUUUCCUUUUGUUUUUCCAUAAGAAAACAAAUUUCAGACCAAUGAAAAAACCU